CAAAAAAAAAAAAAAAAAGGAUGGAUUAAUUAUUCCUUCAAACUCCACUUUGCUUUUUCAUUAAAAAUGAUUUUUUUUUGAAUUCUCUCUCAAUAUUAAAAUUACUUUUUAAAUAUGAUUAUUUUAUCCUUAAUGCUUAAAAUCUAUGCUCAAUUGCAAGUUGACUACAAAAUUUAGUCUUAUUGACUUUCUUUCAGAGAUAGUAUGUAUGCUCUUGGAGAAACAGAGUAGUUUGGCUAAAACAAAAGAUAAGAGAGAAAAGACUCCACUUCAUUACGCUGCAUAUGAAGGUUCUAGCUCAAUGGUGGCAACUUUAUUAGAUAAUGAUGGUUCUAGCUCAAUGGAGACAACUUUAUUAGAUAAUGAUGAAUAUAUUGCUAGGCAAUUACAGGUUAUGGGAGCUCUUCACAUUGCAGCCGCUCAAGGCUAUAAACACGCAAUAAAUGAGAUUAUUUCUAGAUGUCCAGACUGUUGUAAACUCACUGACACAGAAGGUAAAAACGUUCUUCAUUAUGCAGUAUACAGUAGAAAUGAAGAAGUACUGAAAGCAAUCCUUGAAGAGUCAUCAUUAAUUUCCCUUAUAAUUGGGAAAGAUAAUAACGGGAAUACGCCUGUCCAUGUAUUCAAGGCUCUUAAUCUCCCUUUAUCUUCUUUCAUACUUGACGGAGAUACUAAUGCAUUCAUCUUUUGGAAUAAAUUAUACUGUAUCCUUCCCGAAGACUUUACCAUAAAGGUCAGUUAUGUGUGUGUGUGAAAUUUUUAUAUUAAUAAAUUUUAAUUUAAUGAUAUUUGAGCCAUAUUUAUAAUGGUAAAAUUUUAAAUUUGAAUUUCAAUAAAAACUAAUUAUAUAAAUAUAAAUCUGUUCAAUAUUAGAAAGUAACUCAUUCCAUCAGCAAGAUGUGAUCGCUAAAUUUCAUCAUUCAAGUAAUUAAGUAUAUGAUUUUACUAUGUAAAUUCAAGCAAGUAAAAUACACAACUUAAAAAAAAAUAAACAGCAAAAUUCUGGCAAGUUAAUAUUGUAGGUACACCAGAGACUAGUGAAUAGUGACCUUCCAGCUAGGAGCAUCUUGUAUAUAGAUUAUUAGAUGGAGCCAAAAGUUGUUCUGAUAUGGUUAUUGAAAAAAGAUGGUUUCAACAAUGAAAAAGGUAGCCACCUAUACAAAAGGAAUAAAUGGAACUAUGCAAAGCAAAAAGGGCAAGUUUCCAAGCAUCAUUGGAGACACACACAUGGGGAUUUCAAUUCAUAUCAUUUAAAAAAAAAAAAAUGCCUCCAUCUUGCAAUGGAUGGAAAAAUUGCAGUGACCUAGCAAUGAUCUUAACAUGUAUAUGGUAAUUGGCAGCAGGAAAGGGGAUGUUUUAUACAACAGAUUAUGAAGGAAAUUAAGCAUAACAAAGGGCGCUUUUUUUUAUUCUAAUUGUCUAAAUUCAUGUCCCAGUUACCAAUUAAACCCAACAAAGAAAGGGGAAAAAAUGCAAUGAAAACAGGAAAAAUGAAAAACGUACCCAUUCUUUCUUGAACAUGCCAAU
This 1527-nucleotide unclassified non-coding RNA is filed under the name Hevea brasiliensis (rubber tree). The record is from RNAcentral. Lineage: Eukaryota; Viridiplantae; Streptophyta; Magnoliopsida; Malpighiales; Euphorbiaceae.